This 1108-nucleotide long non-coding RNA is filed under the name Canis lupus familiaris (dog). RNAcentral describes it as "lncRNA (ENSCAFG00000034862.3)". The record is from RNAcentral. Lineage: Eukaryota; Metazoa; Chordata; Mammalia; Carnivora; Canidae.
GCCCCACGCAAGUGUCCGAGCGCCUCGCGGGCUGCACAGCGGGGAGGGUCCCUCCCGAGGGCGACGAGGCGGGGGCGGAGGUGAGCGGGGACCGAGGUCUGGGUUCCCUCUCCCCCCGGCGCUCCGGGCUCCCCGCCCUUCGGGGGACGGAGGCGUAGUCCGGUGGCGAAGUUUGGCUGGUGCAAUUAUUAUUAUCAGCAUCUAGAAAGCAUCACACGGAGCAUUGACCUUCAUGCUGCAUUGUUCUUACUGGAUCCUCCUAUCCGUGAACAUUAUGCCAAGUACCAAUACAGCAUCAAGUCAUUUCUGGAUGGAAAGUUUUCAAACUUCUUCAUUUGGAGUUACUUAAACGUGAGGGUGUUGGGAUUUUUGAGGAUGCCUUCCCUAUGUGGAUUAUUACAGUUUGAUGACUGAUUCUCUGCCUCAAAGAAGAUUAUUUUGCUAUCUGGAAACUCAUGCCCACCUCUUUGACUUCGGGUCAAAAUUGCUUUCCUCACAGUCUGACUGGGAAAGUUGUAAAACAUUAGAAUGUCCUUCAGCGGUGGGCUGUGGAAUGUCAUUACUCUCAGGUGACUACGGAAGCAUUAGCACCCUGCAUGCUCAGGUGGCCCCCACUCCUACGGACACAGCUCUUUCACCUAUACGGUUUUCUUCUGUAUUUCCUGAUAUAAGUCUCCCCCUGACCCCACUGGAAUGCAUGGAUUUGCAUUUGUUCUUCCAGGAGUGUCUAACUGGAUGUCCUCUGCAAAUUCAUCAAAUGUGCCAUCUUUUCCAUCAUGUGGUCAUCCCUGGGAUCAUCAUCGAACAUCGUUCUCCACCACUCUGGUCCAUGGAUGGUUGUUCUCUUUUGUCCAUUCCAUCAAAUGUCCUGAACACUGUCAGAAGAGGGAAAAGGCUAAUGGAGCUGUUAAGUCUAAGUAUGACUGCCAAGAUGAAUCCAAAAAAGCCAAAGAGCCUGAGCAUGUCAGACCUUCCUGCAGCCUGCCACACACACUUAAAACCCCAGGGAAAUGAGUGCGGCUCAGGAGGGGGGAAGAGCGCCAACCAGUCAGAUUGCUCAAUCCCAAGACAAAGAACUCGUGGAUCAUGGGCUAGAAAAAAGGGUUAA